UACGUAGGGGGCUAGCGUUAUCCGGAAUUACUGGGCGUAAAGGGUGCGUAGGUGGUUUCUUAAGUCAGAGGUGAAAGGCUACGGCUCAACCGUAGUAAGCCUUUGAAACUGAGAAACUUGAGUGCAGGAGAGGAGAGUAGAAUUCCUAGUGUAGCGGUGAAAUGCGUAGAUAUUAGGAGGAAUACCGGUUGCGAAGGCGGCUCUCUGGACUGUAACUGACACUGAGGCACGAAAGCGUGGGGAGCAAACAGG
RNAcentral lists this ribosomal RNA (252 nucleotides) under uncultured Peptostreptococcaceae bacterium. RNAcentral's name for it is "partial 16S ribosomal RNA". It matches the Rfam family "Bacterial small subunit ribosomal RNA", at positions 524 to 776 of the family's 1533-position model. The record is from RNAcentral. Lineage: Bacteria; Bacillati; Bacillota; Clostridia; Peptostreptococcales; Peptostreptococcaceae.